RNAcentral lists this ribosomal RNA (254 nucleotides) under uncultured bacterium. Its description in RNAcentral is "partial 16S ribosomal RNA". It matches the Rfam family "Bacterial small subunit ribosomal RNA", at positions 524 to 776 of the family's 1533-position model. The record is from RNAcentral.
UACGAGGGGGGCGAGCGUUGUUCGGAAUUAUUGGGCGUAAAGGGUGCGUAGGCGGUUCCGCAAGUCCUGUGUGAAAUCUUCGGGCUCAACUCGAAGUCUGCACGGGAAACUGCGGGGCUUGAGUGUGGGAGAGGUGAGUGGAAUUCCCGGUGUAGCGGUGAAAUGCGUAGAUAUCAGGAAGAACACCCGUGGCUAAGGCGGCUCUCUAGUACGUGACUGACGCUGAGACGCGAAAAGCGUGGGGAGCGAACAGG